This 253-nucleotide ribosomal RNA is filed under the name uncultured bacterium. RNAcentral's name for it is "partial 16S ribosomal RNA". It matches the Rfam family "Bacterial small subunit ribosomal RNA", at positions 524 to 776 of the family's 1533-position model. The record is from RNAcentral.
UACGAGGGGGGCAAGCGUUGUUCGGAAUUAUUGGGCGUAAAGGGUGCGUAGGCGGUCUGAUAAGUCAUCUGUGAAAUCUAUGGGCUCAACCCAUAGUCUGCAGGCGAAACUGUCGGGCUUGAGUAUGGGAGAGGUGAGUGGAAUUUCCGGUGUAGCGGUGAAAUGCGUAGAUAUCGGAAGGAACACCUGUGGCGAAAGCGGCUCACUGGACCGCAACUGACGCUGAGGCGCGAAAGCUAGGGGAGCAAACAGG